AUCCUCUCUACCACUCAGUCCAGCUUUCUGGCUGCCACCUAAACUUCAGUACCUGGCUUCUCUUGGCCAGAUCGAAGGACUGUAAUAUGAUUUAAGUUGUGAAUAUGCCUUAGUAUGUGAGAUGUCUUUUCAUAUGAGGGAGUUCUUAACCUACUUUAGCUUAAUCACCAGAUCCUUUUGUCUUUUAUGCUAACACAUAAA
This 201-nucleotide long non-coding RNA is filed under the name Homo sapiens (human). RNAcentral describes it as "HSALNT0073568". The record is from RNAcentral. Lineage: Eukaryota; Metazoa; Chordata; Mammalia; Primates; Hominidae.